This 131-nucleotide ribosomal RNA is filed under the name uncultured bacterium. Its description in RNAcentral is "partial 23S ribosomal RNA". It matches the Rfam family "Bacterial large subunit ribosomal RNA", at positions 1 to 131 of the family's 2925-position model. The record is from RNAcentral.
GUGUUGUUCGUAAGGGCGCACGGUGGAUGCCUUGGCAUGGAAGGCCGAUGAAGGACGUGAGAGGCCGCGAUAGGCCUCGGGGAGCUGCCAACUGAGCGUUGAUCCGAGGGUGUCCGAAUGGGGAAACCCGG